UUAAUUGAAACCAAUUUUUGAGGUAAGUUACUGUUAAUAACUUCAAAGAAAUAUAUUAAUUUCCAA
Molecule: transfer RNA, 66 nt
Filed under: Hydropsyche orris
Lineage: Eukaryota; Metazoa; Arthropoda; Insecta; Trichoptera; Hydropsychidae
Description: tRNA-Asn
Source: RNAcentral